GAAGCUGGAAUCGCUAGUAAUCGCGGAUCAGAAUGCCGCGGUGAAUACGUUCCCGGGUCUUGUACACACCGCCCGUCACACCAUGGGAGUCAGUAACGCCCGAAGUCAGUGACCCAACCUUAGGGAGGGAGCUGCCGAAGGCGGGACGGAUGACUGGGGUGAAGUCGUAACAAGGUAGCCGUAUCGGAAGGUGCGGCUGGAUCACCUCCUUUCUAGGGAA
This 220-nucleotide ribosomal RNA is filed under the name Blautia sp. An81. RNAcentral's name for it is "partial 16S ribosomal RNA". It matches the Rfam family "Bacterial small subunit ribosomal RNA", at positions 1322 to 1533 of the family's 1533-position model. Lineage: Bacteria; Bacillati; Bacillota; Clostridia; Lachnospirales; Lachnospiraceae. The record is from RNAcentral.